GGAAUCUGUUCAGAUGGACAAAAGAGGUUAGCUAUGCAGACUAUUACGAGCGUGCUUUGACCAACGGUGUGCUCGGAAUUCAAAGAGGAACCCAACCUGGACUGAUGAUCUACAUGCUCCCAUUAGGUAAAGGUGUUUCUAAGGCUGUGACUUAUCACGGUUGGGGAACACCUUAUGAUUCCUUCUGGUGUUGCUAUGGCACUGGUAAACUUUUAACCACAAUCAUCUGGUCAUCUACAUUUUUGUAAGAUUCAAAUUUUGAGGGUAAUCAUUGUUUUGUUUCUGUCCACAGGAAUUGAAUCUUUCUCAAAACUGGGAGAUUCCAUUUAUUUUCAAGAAGAUGAUGUAUCUCCAGCUCUUUAUGUCACCCAAUAUAUAUCAAGCUCACUUGAUUGGAAAUCUGCUGGUCUUUCGCUAUCUCAGAAAGUUAAUCCCGUUGUAUCGUGGGAUCCGUACAUGCGUGUGACAUUCUCUUUCUCUUCUUCCAAAGGGGUAAACUUUUGCAGAACUUGAUGCAACCUGUUCCAUUGAACAAAGACUCUAAUGGAUCCAAUUUUCUUGCAGGGAAUGGCAAAGGAGUCGACUUUGAAUCUAAGAAUUCCAGUUUGGACAAACUCUGUAGGUGCCAAAAUAUCUUUGAAUGGGCAAUCCUUAAAAGUACCAAACUUCAGGUGAUUUGAGCAUUGUGUAUUGUAACCUUUAUAUAUCACCGGGAUUGAACAAAAGAUUACUAAAAAUUGGUUUUUAGGUACUAAAAAAGCAGAACCCGCUUGACUGUUACAGUCUUUAGUUGGUAAAAAUGAGAAUCAUAUUGGACCUGUCUUUUUCUUUGCAGGUAAUUUCCUAUCAAUCAAACAGAACUGGAAAUCUGGCGAUCAAUUAACCAUGGAGUUACCAUUGAGUAUCAGAACCGAAGCUAUAAAAGGUAUAAAACACAGUUCUGAAUCUUCUGAGGUUACUAUCCUUACUCUGGCAAACUAUUACUAGCAGUAUAUUAGAUAUAUUGUAUCAGUUACGCUGUGUAGAGUUGGUUAAGUUAAAAUGGUUCUUGAUCAUUGUGUAUAAAUUGUAUGCAACUCUGUUUUGACAAAGCAAUAACAACAGAAACUUAUUUUACAUUAUUUUGUGAGUAUUUCAGAUGAUCGGCAGGAGUACUCAUCUCUUCAAGCCAUACUCUAUGGCCCCUACUUGUUAGCCGGACACACGAGCAGGGACUGGAGCAUCACAACUCAGGCUAAAGCUGGAAAAUGGAUAACCCCUAUACCUGAAACUCAAAACAGUUACCUUGUCACACUCUCACAACAAUCUGGAGACAUAUCUUAUGUGUUUUCAAAUAGCAACCAAACCAUCACAAUGAGAGUAUCACCCGAGCCAGGGACACAAGAUGCCGUUGCAGCGACUUUCAGGCUCGUGACUGAUAAUUCUAAACCACGGAUAUCGGGUCCAGAGGCACUAAUUGGAAGCCUGGUCAAGCUUGAGCCGUUUGAUUUCCCCGGCAUGAUUGUAAAGCAAGCAACUGAUAGCUCCCUCACGGUUCAAGCUUCUUCUCCUAGUGACAAAGGAGCUUCUAGCUUUCGGUUAGUAUCUGGAGUUGAUGGGAAGCCAGGAAGCGUGUCGUUAAGACUAGAGAGCAAAAAGGGUUGUUUUGUGUACAGCGAUCAAACACUAAAGCAGGGGACGAAACUAAGGCUUGAAUGUGGUUCGGCUGCGACUGAUGAGAAGUUUAAAGAGGCAGCAAGCUUUAAGUUAAAGACAGGAAUGAAUCAAUACAAUCCAAUGAGUUUUGUGAUGAGCGGAACACAGAGGAACUUUGUGUUAUCGCCAUUGUUUAGCUUAAGAGAUGAAACAUACAAUGUGUACUUCAGUGUGCAAACUUGAAGAAAGAAACCCUCUUAAAAUUCUUUUAAGGUACAUUGGGAGAAAAAAUAAGAAAAAAAGUCUCAUUUGAAAUAUAUAUAGACAUGUGUUUAGAUGUUUAGCCUCUUAUUAGGUGGUUUGUGACUUUUGUGUUUUGCAAUUUCAUCUAAAAAUGUAUGUUGCUGUUACAUUAAAUAUAGACAAAUGUGUUUUUUAUAAAUUGUGCUAACGAUGAAUCCAUGUCUUUCUUUAUAUUCUAAAUAAAGAGUGGAGACUAGUUUGUUGCCGUGAAUCAUAGUCAGUGCAUUCAUGAAAUAAUAUUCUCAUAUGUGAUAGAAAUGUGUGUUUAGACAGAAAGUAUAUUUGUAUUUGAAAGAUGGAAGUGGCUAGCAGCUCCAUUUGUAUUUUGCUUGUGAAUUUGUGUCUCACGUUUGGAAAGCUCUAGCAAUAUGCCUCUACAAGACCAUCUACUCAAAGGACCGAAGUGAGAUAUUUGGGUUAUUGCCGUCGUAGAGACGAGCUUCUUCUGGUGUAUGGUUACAUGCCCAAUGGAAGUAUUUGUACGAUUGUCCUGAGGUAACACUUGAUUGGAAACAGAGGUUUAAUGUAAUUAUAGGUGUGGCCUCUGGCUUAUCCUAUCUCCCCGAGACAUCAAAGCCAGCAACGUUUUGGCAUUACAUUUUGUGAAAUUGCCUAAGAAGACUACAAAACCCAUUACUAUCUAUCUGAUGAUGAUGAUUUGCGAACAUGAAUCAUCUGGUUAACCGGUGGUUAUUGGAGGUAACCGAAGACUACAACUUGAGCCGGAGUUGGUUUGAGAAUUACAAAAUACAAUUAUCAUCUACUUGAAACCUCUGCUUCUCUCAGAGGUGUUAGCUUCUUCUUCAUGAUAUCAGACAUUACGGAUGCAGAGUCUAUGUGCUCCUCCUCGAAACCAAUCGAUCAGGCAAGCAAUUUCUCUCAUUGUCUACUUAAAGAGUUCAUUUUUCCCAGCAGAUUAUCCUCGGAAUCGCUGAUGUUUGUGUCUCGACUUUCUCUUAGGCAUUUCGUCGAAUCCCUUGAUCAAAAAGUUUCUUGAAGAAAUUUGACAAAAAGCUUUCUAAUUUCUGCGACAAAUCCUGUCCUCAGCCAUUAUGAGACACCAGGCGGCGAUGAGCAUUGUAGAGUACAUGCUCGAUGUUGACUCCCACAUGUGGAGCAUGAGGAGGAGUAAAGCUAACUUCUUCGUUGGUGAUGGUGUUUCGAGGAAAACCAUAAAUAGCCCACUGAUCUCAUAUCUCUCGAAAAACUUGUUCUUUUUUUACAACAAAACCGCGAAUAGCAUCCUCUGUUUUUAUCUAAAUCCUCUCUGUUUUUCUCUUCCACGUUAUUGAAUUCUAUUUUUAGCAGACAUUACUUUAAUCUUUAGAAUUCCUUUUUUUGGCAGACAUUGCUUUAAUCUUUACAGCUCUUUUCCUUUAUAAAUAUCUUCUCUUCUUCCAAUUCAAAUCUCAUCCCCUAACUAUUUUAUGAGUCUUGAGGCUCUUGGAUUCUGAAAAUUUGGGAUCUUAGGGUUUCGGGUUUUCAACCAUCUCUUUUUUUGGUGUCUUUUAAGGCAAAAAAAGAUACGAUGAAGUCUGGUGUCAUCAUAACCAUUGCUCUGUUAUUAUUCACAAGCUUUGUUCUUGUUUGUGUAGCGAAAGAGUGUACAGACAUUCCUACCAAGCUCUCAUCGCAUACUUUGCGCAGCGAGCUUCUGCAAUCACAGAACGAAACUUUGAAGACAGAGUUGUCCUCUCAUUACCAUUUAACUCCAACUGAUGACGCCGCUUGGUCUACUUUGUUGCCAAGGAAGAUGUUGAAAGAAGAGACGGAUGAUUUCGCUUGGACUAUGUUGUAUAGGAAGUUCAAGGACUCUAAUUCCUCUGGUAACUUUCUCAAGGACGUCUCUUUGCACGACGUUAGGCUCGACCCCAGCUCCUUUCAUUGGAGGGCUCAGCAGACAAACCUUGAGUAUCUAUUGAUGUUGAAUGUUGAUGGUUUGGCCUAUAGCUUCCGUAAAGUUGCUGGUCUUGAUGCUCCUGGAGUUCCCUAUGGAGGAUGGGAGAAACCAGAUAGUGAACUCCGUGGCCAUUUUGUCGGUAUAAACCUCUGCCUUUUUCCUCAAUUCGAUACAAUUUCUUGAUUCAUGUUGUUGAUAGUAUGCAAGAAAAGGUUUUGAGAUUUGAUGUUUGGUACAUAGAUUGAUUAGACCCUUAAGAUUGCAUAGGCCCUUAAAGGAAUCACCUUUUGACAUUUCAUAGACCCUUGAAAGGAUUUUCAACCUUAAAGGAAUGACCUUUUAGUUGAUGGCUCAAAAAUCUCUCUCUGUUUGUUUUGAAGGUCACUAUUUGAGUGCAACAGCUUAUAUGUGGGCAAGUACUCAUAAUGAUACUCUCAAGACGAAAAUGUCAGCUCUUGUCUCUGCUUUAGCGGAAUGCCAGCAAAAAUCUGGCACAGGAUAUCUCUCUGCUUUUCCUUCCAGUUUUUUCGACCGGUUUGAAGCUAUAACACAUGUUUGGGCUCCUUACUACACCAUUCACAAGGUGAAUAGUCAGACCCUUUGACUGAGAUGUAGAUUGAUAUGCUUAUGUUUUGCAAAAGAGUAACAUCUCUGUCUUAAUUUUGACAGAUUUUGGCCGGCCUGGUGGAUCAAUAUAAGUUGGCUGGGAAUACUCAAGCUUUAAAGAUGGCAACAGGGAUGGCUGAUUACUUUUAUGGCCGUGUUCAAAAUGUGAUAAGGAAGUACAGUGUUGAACGACAUUGGCUAUCACUAAACGAAGAGACUGGUGGCAUGAAUGAUGUUCUUUAUCAGCUAUACAGCAUCACUGUGAGUUAAAAUCUUAUCAGACUCUAAAAAGCAACCUUAGAUUUGUGUUAUAUCUAGCUUUGUGUUAUAUCAUAGUGUUUUGGACUCUGCAGCGAGAUUCCAAGUAUUUGUUUCUCGCACAUCUCUUUGACAAGCCUUGCUUUCUCGGGGUCCUCGCAAUUCAGGUAGGUUACUUGAUGAUUAGCUUGAAGAGAUGUGAAUGGUAAGGUCACAUAACUUGACAUGCAUUUUUGCAGGCCGAUGAUAUUAGUGGAUUCCACGCUAAUACACAUAUUCCCAUCGUCGUUGGAUCCCAACAACGAUAUGAAAUCACUGGUGAUCUACUCCAUAAGGUAUUGAAGUGUAACCAAGAAAAGUUUAUCAAAGAAGAUAUUGGUUCUCUUGAUUCUGAAAUAUGCAUUUCCAGGAAAUCUCGAUGUUCUUUAUGGACAUAGUUAAUGCUUCUCACAGCUAUGCAACUGGAGGAACAUCAGUCAAAGAGUUCUGGUACUACCAUUACCUGACGUUAGAGUUUGGUUCUUUGUAACAUGACUUUUUGUUUUAAGUCUUAACCAUGUUUUGGGAAUGUUAACAUUAGGCAAGAUCCAAAGAGAAUGGCGACUACACUGCAAACUGAAAACGAGGAAUCAUGUACUACUUAUAACAUGCUCAAGGUAGGAUUUUAAACUCUUUUUAUUUGCUCAAGGUAACAUACUAACAUAUGAACACUUCUACAACUUCAGGUCUCUAGGAAUCUGUUCAGAUGGACAAAAGAGGUUAGCUAUGCAGACUAUUACGAGCGCGCUUUGACCAACGGUGUGCUUGGAAUUCAAAGAGGAACCCAACCCGGACGGAUGAUCUACAUGCUCCCAUUAGGUCAAGGUGUUUCUAAGGCUGUGACUUAUCACGGUUGGGGAACACCUUAUGAUUCCUUCUGGUGUUG
This 5627-nucleotide long non-coding RNA is filed under the name Arabidopsis lyrata. Its description in RNAcentral is "long non-coding RNA (ALYR_LNC001199)". The record is from RNAcentral. Lineage: Eukaryota; Viridiplantae; Streptophyta; Magnoliopsida; Brassicales; Brassicaceae.